This is a long non-coding RNA of Cavia porcellus (domestic guinea pig), 1655 nucleotides long. RefSeq lists it as uncharacterized. The record is from RefSeq and is a predicted model, not a curated record. Lineage: Eukaryota; Metazoa; Chordata; Mammalia; Rodentia; Caviidae. The transcript is spliced from 4 exons.
AUUCUCAACCUGAUCUCCUGCUCUGAGGCCCCAACGCCCCCAGCGCCCACCUCUUCCAACAGGUCCCGCCCCUGAACACAAGACUGAGGGGACACUGUUCGAGAUCCAUACCUCAACCACCCACGCACAGGCAGGGGCACCCGCUAACUGGCACCUCCUCCUGACCAGGCUCUCCCGCACCCUUCUUUUCCAUGCUAGUUCUGUCACGUGAUCUCCUCCGGGGAAGCGGGGAGGAAGGCCGGACCCCAGAUGUGCCGUUGUAAUGAGAGGAGCCGACGCACACCAGGUCCUCAGCCUGGGAGAGGCACGGUAAACGCUUGGUGAGCUGCAAUGACCACAGCAAUCAGCCCCACCGGAGGGCUGGACUCCCUCCCCUGCAGGGGCUGAUCCAGGCUCCUGGACACUGCACUCUCCUGGUCCGAGCAGGUGACAGCCUCUUCCCGCUUACGCAAUGCCAAGUGUCCUGCCCAGUGCCUGCCUGACGCUCAGUGUCUGACGGGUGAGCCACCGUUGCCUGCCUACAUCCAGCAGCUCCUGAAUCCUGUGGGGAGCAAAGUUGUUCCAGGCCCACGUCCACGGCCCGGGUCUUUUCAGCCGUAAUAAUCACAUUUCAGGCUCUGCUUUAUCACCGCUGAACUGGAAACGGCUUCCUCUGUGAAAGAGAAGUAGGCGGGGUCUUCCGAGACAGAGUGGGCCUUGUGGGGACUCCAGUGAGCCCCUUGUGGAUGGGUGCACCGAGGGCCAGACACCAAGGUGGGGCAGAAACACACUGAGGCCACUACUCCCACAGCUGGUCGUGGGGCAGCCUUGGAGGAGAGGACCACAGGCUCAGAGCCACCUGGGUGCCUGCAGCUGGGCAGCACUGGUCAUUGAGGUUCGGGGAGAAUUUGUGCAGAAUUCGGAGAGAAGGGAUCCACAAAGCCAGGGUGCAGGGCUCACAGAAAUGUUGCUUGGACGUUAUGAGGAUAUGCUGCACUGGGGAUCGAACCCAGGGCCUCACACGCUGCUUGGCAACUGUCUUGUGCAUAGCUACACAGCUCUUCAAAGGAUCUCACUUAACUAAUAGACGUGUGGCUGCUGUAGAUCUGGUUCCAAGAGGCUGCUGGACCCCGAUCUCAUGGAUUCCUUCACCGCCCCCGCCGGCCCCGCCCGGGUGCCCACAAGUGUUUUGAAGCAGACUCUAUGAAAAGAGGCAUCAAACGAAGAAGAUGCACUGCGAUGUCCUUAGUGGUACCAUGCUGCCUGCUGGUGACAGCUCCAGAGGGAGGGGCAGACUCCGGAACGCUGUGGACGGUGAGGAGUGCCCACAGACCACGCUUCACAGCACAAGCCCACGGCCACGGCAUUUAAGUACUCAGCCCGCAUCGCUGCACAGACUUUAAGUGAGCUGACAGCUUUUGCAAACAGACUGCAAAAAACUACAAGAAAAAAAUUUAGAGAAUGCUUUGUUGGUAUUGAUAAAGCCAGUGUGUGCUCUGGACCUUUGAAUUUGAUACAAAUUCUAACUUGAUUCAAGGCUUAGUGCCUUUAUUUAACUUGGAAAAACAGACUUGGGAAAUGAAUAUACUUGUGGUUGAAAGUCAAAAUCAAUUCUUCUAAAAAUUGUAAGCCAGUUUGGUCAAUGUAGAUGUACACAAUAAAAAAAAUACGAUUUU